Molecule: ribosomal RNA, 433 nt
Filed under: uncultured bacterium
Lineage: Bacteria
Description: partial 16S ribosomal RNA
Rfam family: Bacterial small subunit ribosomal RNA
Source: RNAcentral
AACGAACGCUGGCGGCAUGCCUAACACAUGCAAGUCGAACGAGACCUUCGGGUCUAGUGGCGCACGGGUGCGUAACGCGUGGGAACCUGCCCUUAGGUUCGGAAUAACUCCCCGAAAGGGGUGCUAAUACCGGAUAAUGUCUUCGGACCAAAGAUUUAUCGCCUUUGGAUGGGCCCGCGUUGGAUUAGCUAGUUGGUAGGGUAAAAGCCUACCAAGGCGACGAUCCAUAGCUGGUCUGAGAGGAUGAUCAGCCACACUGGGACUGAGACACGGCCCAGACUCCUACGGGAGGCAGCAGUGGGGAAUAUUGGACAAUGGGCGAAGGGCUGAUCCAGCAAUGCCGCGUGAGUGAUGAAGGCCUUAGAGUUGUAAAGCUCUUUUACCCGGGAUGAUAAUGACAGUACCGAGAGAAUAAGCUCCGGCUAACUCCGUG